This 25-nucleotide non-coding RNA is filed under the name Rattus norvegicus (Norway rat). Lineage: Eukaryota; Metazoa; Chordata; Mammalia; Rodentia; Muridae. The record is from RNAcentral.
UUCUUAGCUUCGGGGUUGUGCAAAG